UGCAGAAUAGCUCAGUCGGUAGAGCAAGAGACUCUCAAUCUCUAGGUUGUGGGUUUGAGCCCCAUGUUGGGCAA
Non-coding RNA from Zootoca vivipara (common lizard), 74 nucleotides. The record is from the annotation of a RefSeq genome assembly. NCBI's taxonomy places the organism in Eukaryota, Metazoa, Chordata, Lepidosauria, Squamata, Lacertidae.